AACGAACGCUGGCGGCAUGCCUAACACAUGCAAGUCGAACGAGACCUUCGGGUCUAGUGGCGCACGGGUGCGUACCGCGUGGGAACCUGCCCUUAGGUUCGGAAUACCUCCCCGAAGGGGGUGCUAAUACCGGAUAAUGUCUUCGGACCAAAGAUUUAUCGCCUUUGGAUGGGCCCGCGUUGGAUUCGCUGGUUGGUAGGGUAAAAGCCUACCAAGGAGACGAUCCAUAGCUGGUCUGAGAGGAGGACCAGCCACACUGGGACUGAGACACGGCCCAGACUCCUACGGGAGGCAGCAGUGGGGAAUAUUGGACAAUGGGCGAAAGCGUGAUCCAGCAAUGCCGCGGGAGUGAUGAAGGCCUUAGGGUUGUAAAGCUCUUUUACCCGGGAUGAUAAUGACAGUACCGGGAGAAGAAGCUCCGGCUAACUCCGUG
RNAcentral lists this ribosomal RNA (433 nucleotides) under uncultured bacterium. RNAcentral describes it as "partial 16S ribosomal RNA". It matches the Rfam family "Bacterial small subunit ribosomal RNA", at positions 29 to 507 of the family's 1533-position model. The record is from RNAcentral.